RNAcentral lists this ribosomal RNA (166 nucleotides) under uncultured bacterium. RNAcentral describes it as "partial 16S rRNA". It matches the Rfam family "Bacterial small subunit ribosomal RNA", at positions 355 to 512 of the family's 1533-position model. The record is from RNAcentral.
UAGGGAAUCUUCCACAAUGGACGCAAGUCUGAUGGAGCAACGCCGCGUGAGUGAAGAAGGUCUUCGGAUCGUAAAGCUCUGUUGUAAGAGAAGAACGUGUGUGAGAGUGGAAAGUUCACACAGUGACGGUAACUUACCAGAAAGGGACGGCUAACUACGUGCCUAG